This 802-nucleotide ribosomal RNA is filed under the name Pezicula ericae. RNAcentral's name for it is "LSU rRNA". It matches the Rfam family "Eukaryotic large subunit ribosomal RNA", at positions 94 to 912 of the family's 3401-position model. The record is from RNAcentral. Lineage: Eukaryota; Fungi; Ascomycota; Leotiomycetes; Helotiales; Dermateaceae.
UGAAGCGGUAACAGCUCAAAUUUGAAAUCUGGGUCUUUCAGGCUCCGAGUUGUAAUCCUGUAGAAGAUGCUUUGGGUGCGGCCCCGGUCUAAGUUCCUUGGAACAGGACGUCAUAGAGGGUGAGAAUCCCGUAUGUGAUCGGUGGCUUGCGCCCGUGUAAAGCUCUUUCGACGAGUCGGGUUGUUUGGGAAUGCAGCUCUAAAUGGGUGGUAAAUUUCAUCUAAAGCUAAAUAUUGGCCAGAGACCGAUAGCGCACAAGUAGAGUGAUCGAAAGAUGAAAAGCACUUUGGAAAGAGAGUUAAACAGUACGUGAAAUUGUUGAAAGGGAAGCGCUUGCAACCAGACUUGCGCGGGGUUGAUCAUCCGGGGUUCUCCCCGGUGCACUCGGCCUCGCUCAGGCCAGCAUCGGUUUCGGUGGUUGGAUAAAGGCCUUGGGAAUGUGACUCCUCUCGGGGAGUGUUAUAGCCCUCGGUGCAAUGCAGCCUACCGGGACCGAGGACCGCGCUUCGGCUAGGAUGCUGGCGUAAUGGUUGUAAGCGACCCGUCUUGAAACACGGACCAAGGAGUCUAACAUCUAUGCGAGUGUUUGGGUGUCAAACCCAUACGCGUAAUGAAAGUGAACGGAGGUGAGAACCCUUAAGGGUGCAUCAUCGACCGAUCCUGAUGUCUUCGGAUGGAUUUGAGUAAGAGCAUAGCUGUUGGGACCCGAAAGAUGGUGAACUAUGCCUGAAUAGGGUGAAGCCAGAGGAAACUCUGGUGGAGGCUCGCAGCGGUUCUGACGUGCAAAUCGAUCGUCAAAUUU